GUUUUUUACUUCCUGCCAUGUACCCUUGAGUGUAUGUCUGUGAGUUACUGCAGUCAUGCCAUCGCCAGCUUGUGGGUGGAGGAAGGAUUAAGCAAAUAAAGGUGGGUUGCCUAAUCCAGAGUCUGGUCAUGUCCAGCCAGGAAGUGAUUCACAGAUCAUAAUUGUGUUUAAUGCGAGAUAUCUGAUGAUAAGAAUGACAUGAACGUUUAUUCGGCUUUUAUUAAAGCCCCAGGAGAUUAAAAAAAAAAAAAAGAUUUACAAAACCUGGAAUCUGGAACUGAUGUGCACUCACUUUCUGAACUGUGCUCCUCAGCUGAUUUAUUGCUUAUGUGUGUGUGUGUGAGGUCGUGGAGUGUAAGCCUUCUGCUAAGAGGGACAGGAGUUAUACAAAUAAUUCUUCCUGGCCUCACGUCAGCGUUUGAUUCAUUGAAAUCAAAAUUUUCAGAAGAAUCUCAUAAGAACAGCGAGGUCUGGGAGCAGCGAAAGUGAAGGCAAAGAGCAAAGAGGGGCGCAGAGGGGAGGAUUCAGGGAGGAGCAGGGAGUGGCAGGGUGAGGUGUUUUGGAUUGUGGUCAUGAAUUUUUCCCUCCUGUCUCUCAUUCUUCUCCUGCAUGUUGAGACUCAUUCCUGCUUCUUCUCUCACACUGCAGUUCUUCUUCUGUGAAUCCACCUCUGUUUGUGUUUUACAACCUCUCUGGAAUUCAAACAUUAAAAUAACUUUUAUUAACUGAGACGAUUAUGACAAAAAUCCAUAUCCAUCUGUUAAGGGUUAAUAAUAAUUAAUAAUUAAUCAGGCUCUUUUCCAGCUUCAAACAUUGACAUUUCAAAGAUUUGACAGAAAAUACUUUACUUUCAGAAGCAUAAAUUAUCACAUUUUUGCCACUUAUUACUAUAAUCUAUAUGGAUAAUAAUGACACACUAGAAAAAGUGACUUACUUUCAGAGGACUAGUUGAAAAAAUAAAAGAAAAAUGUCAAAAUUAAAAUAUUGUAGCUCACUGGACUGGGCAGGCGCCACAGCCCCUGUAUCCAUGUUGGAUCUCAAAUCAGAUGUCUAUUUAAUUUGAUCUUCACCUCCUUCUUAGGGUCAUUUUCUUGAAAAUACAUGUCGCCUAUAUGGUUGUGUUUGUUCCUGUUCCUGUUUUAUUAUCCUGAACACUCAUUCAGAAGUCCAUGAAACACCACAUGUUUGAAGGGGUUGUUGCUUGAUAUCAUUAACACAGAUAUUUCCGCACCUCUGGGCGUUCAUUUUAUAUAUAUGUAUUUUGUAAUUUCCCAGACUCACUGCCUUGAGUGUCGAACUAUCCUGUAACUAUAAGAAGACUGAUGUGUUAUGUUUCUCCCAUGUCCUUACAUUCCAGGUGUGCAUACCUGCAUCUAUAUGUCUGUGAAACGGAGACUGUGACUUAUCACACUUACCUGGGAUCUCCACAGGAAUUCUUGGUUUCCUGGGUGACCUGAGAAAUUGUGGCAUGAACAAAGUGACGAAUCAUUUUCAGACCUGUGAAGGCAGAUUUCUCUGACACACACACAUACACACACAGAUGGCAUGUACUGAACUUGAAUAACCCUGUUUGUAGUGUCUUAGUCAAACCACCUGGAGGUUAUACAGAAACAGCUGAGUUUAUCACUUUGAACUAACAGUGCUCUGGGCAAAGACAUGUCAAGACAAGAGGUCACUGAUAUCUUUCCAAUGACGGGGUUUCUUCAUUUUGAGAAAAGGUGAAAUGAGGAAACAUACCACUUUUCGUUUAAUCAAGGAAUCAUGGCCUGAAAACACCUUAAAGAGUGUAAAUUCAUAGUCACACCCUCCUCCCGUGAUCUCAAAAGCAGGUGUUUUGAGCAGUCUGUUCGAGUCCUUACAUUACCUAUGUGGCUUUCACUGCCUUCAUUGAUUUAGAAAAUAUCUAAUAUCAUUCAGACUUUGUCGUUUUCAUUUUUUUUCUUGUUACUCUGCAAAAAGACAAAAAAAACUGUCCACUUCGUAGCGCUGUACCUUGAUGCAGCAGUUCAAUGAGCUAAAUGCUAAUGUUAGCAAUGUCAUCUUUUGAAUUGAUUUUGUGAUAUGUCUAAAUGUUACUCUUUUUGAAGUACAUUGUGUGAAAAGGCAGUUUUCCUGAGAUUUGUCAAAAUGUGGGGUGGGAUGCUCAACAGCUGACAUUAAACAUAACUCUGAUUUAAGCAUACAAACAUGCCAAUAAUGAAAAUGCAAAUGCUCUGAUGUUAAUGAGAUAUGAUUUUUGUCUUAGUCACCAUUUAAAUCAUAAAUGUUAGCAGAUUUCAGUUUGAACAACUGUUGCCACAUCAGGUCAACCUAAAAAUUGACAGGAAGUUGCCUGUGUCAUGCAGUGAGUGUGUUUUUAUACAGUUCAUGGUGCCAGUUUGUUUUCUAAUAAACUUGAUUCAUUCUUUCAAAUGGAGGAUUUUGUACUCAAAAUAACUUAUUACACUCUUUACUGGAGUUUAUCUUUUAAGUGUCUCAAAC
Molecule: non-coding RNA, 2481 nt
Organism: Xyrichtys novacula (pearly razorfish)
Lineage: Eukaryota; Metazoa; Chordata; Actinopteri; Labriformes; Labridae
Source: the annotation of a GenBank genome assembly